CCUACGGGAGGCAGUAGUGGGGAAUAUUGGGCAAUGGGCGCAAGCCUGACCCAGCAACGCCGCGUGAAGGAAGAAGGCUCUCGGGUUGUAAACUUCUUUUAUCAGGGACGAAGCAAGUGACGGUACCUGAUGAAUAAGCCACGGCUAACUACGUGCCAGCAGCCGCGGUAAUACGUAGGUGGCAAGCGUUAUCCGGAUUUACUGGGUGUAAAGGGCGUGUAGGCGGGAAAGCAAGUCAGAUGUGAAAACCAUGGGCUCAACCUGUGGCCUGCAUUUGAAACUGUUUUUCUUGAGUACUGGAGAGGCAGACGGAAUUCCUAGUGUAGCGGUGAAAUGCGUAGAUAUUAGGAGGAACACCAGUGGCGAAGGCGGUCUGCUGGACAGCAACUGACGUUGAGGCUCGAAAGCGUGGGGAGCAAACAGGAUUAGAUACCCGGGUAGUC
Molecule: ribosomal RNA, 443 nt
Filed under: uncultured bacterium
Lineage: Bacteria
Description: partial 16S ribosomal RNA
Rfam family: Bacterial small subunit ribosomal RNA
Source: RNAcentral